Molecule: long non-coding RNA, 667 nt
Filed under: Olea europaea subsp. europaea
Lineage: Eukaryota; Viridiplantae; Streptophyta; Magnoliopsida; Lamiales; Oleaceae
Source: RNAcentral
CUUGAACUGUUCCUCGCCCAUUCUUACUUUUUUGACAAUCUGUCGUGAGGAUUAUAUUUUGUAAAAAGUUGUAUUUAGAGGAUUUAUAAAGCUUGAAAUAUAUUACAAUUGUCGGAUAAUUAUUGUUGUACUUCUGAAUAUACCUGGUUUUAGAAAGAUGCCUUCAUGAAGUAUUGGGAAAAUUAUUUGAAUAAAUUUCGGGAAAAUGCUUAUUACGUCUUCAGCAUUCAAGGGUUUUACUUUCACCGAGGAUUUAAGGACAAAACAUGAUCAAAUAAGUAGAAUAUUCUUUAAUCAGAUAUGAUAUAAUUUUAUGAUCUUCCUUUUAUGGUCGUAUUUUCUAGAUUCUGGUUUCUCUAUUAUACGAUAUGUGAAAUCAAUUGUGUUGAGGUACUUUGAUGUUUUUAACAUUCAGGAAUUGGAUUUUUAAAUUCUGAUGCCCAAGGAAUUAUUUUAAUAAAUGAAGCCUUUGUUUGACACCCAUUAUAAAGAGAAAUUGUGGUAAAAUGUAUUAUGAAAUAGUAUUUUUGGGAAGAAUAUGUGGUUAAAAAAGAAGGAAAUUUUUUUUAUUUACAUAUAAUAUUAUUUUAUUAAAGAAUGUGUGGUUGAAAAGAAGAGAGAGAAAUGUAUUAAAAUUUUAAUGGGUGUCAAACAAGGGCGAUUCGGU